AACGUGGGUAACCUGCCCAAGAGACUGGAAUAACACCUGGAAACAGAUGCUAAUACCGGAUAACAACACUAGACGCAUGUCUAGAGUUUAAAAGAUGGUUCUGCUAUCACUCUUGGAUGGACCUGCGGUGCAUUAGCUAGUUGGUAAGGUAACGGCUUACCAAGGCAAUGAUGCAUAGCCGAGUUGAGAGACUGAUCGGCCACAUUGGGACUGAGACACGGCCCAAACCCCUACGGGAGGCAGCAG
Molecule: ribosomal RNA, 246 nt
Filed under: uncultured bacterium
Lineage: Bacteria
Description: partial 16S ribosomal RNA
Rfam family: Bacterial small subunit ribosomal RNA
Source: RNAcentral